GAUGCAGGGUGCGCAGGGAUCCCACCUGGAGAGUCGGGGCGGCACGUUGAGACCCCAGGGGUGAAGGGCGGGGGAUCCCAAUCCCAGCCCUGUUUUCCCCUCCCCUUUCCCCGCCUCCUUCUCGCCCCUCCCCCCUCCUCCCCUCUGGUUGGAAAGUUUCUAGAAUCUCUUCCCAGCGGCCUUUGCGGUUCCAACAUGGCGGAGCUGACGGUGGAGGUUCGCGGCUCUAACGGGGCUUUCUACAAGGGAUUUAUCAAAGAUGUUCAUGAAGACUCCCUUACAGUUGUUUUUGAAAAUAAGUAUAUUCAAGAGCAAAUGACCAAGAGCCAUGUGGGUGGUGGUUGGCUAAAGUUCGGAUGAUGAAAGGAGAAUUUUAUGUCAUUGAAUAUGCUGCUUGUGACGCUACUUACAAUGAAAUAGUCACAUUUGAACGACUUCGGCCUGUCAAUCAAAAUAAAACUGUCAAAAAAAAUACCUUCUUUAAAUGCACAGUGGAUGUUCCUGAGGAUUUGAGAGAGGCGUGUGCUAAUGAAAAUGCACAUAAAGAUUUUAAGAAAGCAGUAGGAGCAUGCAGAAUUUUUUACCAUCCGGAAACAACACAGCUAAUGAUACUGUCUGCCAGUGAAGCAACUGUGAAGAGAGUAAACAUCUUAAGUGACAUGCAUUUGCGAAGUAUUCGUACGAAGUUGAUGCUUAUGUCCAGAAAUGAAGAGGCCACUAAGCAUUUAGAAUGCACAAAACAACUUGCAGCAGCUUUUCAUGAGGAAUUUGUUGUGAGAGAAGAUUUAAUGGGCCUGGCAAUAGGAACACAUGGUAGUAACAUCCAGCAAGCUAGGAAGGUUCCUGGAGUUACUGCCAUUGAGCUAGAUGAAGAUACUGGAACAUUCAGAAUCUACGGAGAGAGUGCUGAUGCUGUAAAAAAGGCUAGAGGUUUCUUGGAAUUUGUGGAGGAUUUUAUUCAGGUUCCUAGGAAUCUCGUUGGAAAAGUAAUUGGAAAAAAUGGCAAAGUUAUUCAAGAAAUAGUGGACAAAUCUGGUGUGGUUCGAGUGAGAAUUGAAGGGGACAAUGAAAAUAAAUUACCCAGAGAAGACGGUAUGGUUCCAUUUGUAUUUGUUGGCACUAAAGAAAGCAUUGGAAAUGUGCAGGUUCUUCUAGAGUAUCAUAUUGCCUAUCUAAAGGAAGUAGAACAGCUAAGAAUGGAACGCCUACAGAUUGAUGAACAGCUGCGACAGAUUGGUAUGGGUUUCAGACCUUCUUCCACCAGAGGGCCUGAAAAAGAGAAAGGAUAUGCCACUGAUGAAAGUACCGUCUCUUCUGUACAAGGUUCUAGGUCUUAUAGCGGAAGAGGCAGAGGUCGUCGGGGACCUAAUUACACCUCCGGUUAUGGUACAAAUUCUGAGCUGUCUAACCCCUCUGAAACGGAAUCUGAGCGUAAAGACGAGCUGAGUGAUUGGUCAUUGGCAGGAGAAGAUGAUCGAGACAGCCGACAUCAGCGUGACAGCAGGAGACGCCCAGGAGGAAGAGGCAGAAGUGUUUCAGGGGGUCGAGGUCGUGGUGGACCACGUGGUGGCAAAUCCUCCAUCAGUUCUGUGCUCAAAGAUCCAGACAGCAAUCCAUACAGCUUACUUGAUAAUACAGAAUCAGAUCAGACUGCAGACACUGAUGCCAGCGAAUCUCAUCACAGUACUAACCGUCGUAGGCGGUCUCGUAGACGAAGGACUGAUGAAGAUGCUGUUCUGAUGGAUGGAAUGACUGAAUCUGAUACAGCUUCAGUUAAUGAAAAUGGGCUAGUCACAGUUGCAGAUUAUAUUUCUAGAGCUGAGUCUCAGAGCAGACAAAGAAACCUCCCAAGGGAAACUUUGGCUAAAAACAAGAAAGAAAUGGCAAAAGAUGUGAUUGAAGAGCAUGGUCCUUCAGAAAAGGCAAUAAACGGCCCAACUAGUGCUUCUGGCGAUGACAUUUCUAAGCUACAGCGUACUCCAGGAGAAGAAAAGAUUAAUACCUUAAAAGAAGAAAACACUCAAGAAGCAGCAGUCCUGAAUGGUGUUUCAUAAACUGAAGAAGUUCCUAGUUUACAGUUCUUUUACAUUACAUUUACAAUAGUGCUUGUACAAGCUUGCCAAAGAUAGAAUAUGGAUCGCCAGUCUUUACAUCGCACUUUCAGUUCCUCCAUUUGGAAUUCAAAAAGGGGAGGGAUCCUGAAGAAAUCAUAUGUUAAACAUACUUUGACACCUACUGUGUUAUAAAAUAUAUCAUCAGAUGUGCCUUGAGAAUAGUAUAUGUAACAUUAAAAAAAAGUUGCUGGCUAUAGGAAAUGUUAUUUUGUUUUCAAAAUAUGGCA
This 2341-nucleotide small RNA is filed under the name Pan troglodytes (chimpanzee). RNAcentral's name for it is "retained intron". The record is from RNAcentral. Lineage: Eukaryota; Metazoa; Chordata; Mammalia; Primates; Hominidae.